Molecule: transfer RNA, 73 nt
Filed under: Galerina marginata CBS 339.88
Lineage: Eukaryota; Fungi; Basidiomycota; Agaricomycetes; Agaricales; Galerinaceae
Description: tRNA-Thr (AGT) (tRNA-Thr-AGT-2-1)
Rfam family: tRNA
About the family: Transfer RNA (tRNA) molecules are approximately 80 nucleotides in length. Their secondary structure includes four short double-helical elements and three loops (D, anti-codon, and T loops).
Source: RNAcentral
UCCUUCUUAGCUCAGUUGGUAGAGCGCGUCACUAGUAAUGACGAGGUCAGUCGUUCAAAUCGGCUAGCAGGAA